CUUCAAGGUGCUGCAUGGUUGUCGUCAGCUCGUGCCGUGAGGUGUCGGGUUAAGUCCCAUAACGAGCGCACCCUUACCGUUAGUUACCAUCAGGUUAAGCUGGGGACUCUAGCGGGACUGCCACCGUAAGGUGAGAGGAAGGUGGGGAUGACGUCAAAUCAGCACGGCCCUUAUGUCCAGGGCUACACACGUGUUACAAUGGCCGGUACAAAGGGCAGCUACUUCGCGAGAAGAUGCUAAUCUCGAAAGCCGGUCUCAGUUCGGAUCGAAGUCUGCAACCCGACUUCGUGAAGUCGGAAUCGCUAGUAAUCGUGAAUCAGAAUGUCACGGUGAAUACGUUCCCGGGCCUU
This 350-nucleotide ribosomal RNA is filed under the name uncultured Sphingobacteriales bacterium. RNAcentral describes it as "bacterial SSU rRNA". It matches the Rfam family "Bacterial small subunit ribosomal RNA", at positions 1031 to 1382 of the family's 1533-position model. The record is from RNAcentral. Lineage: Bacteria; Pseudomonadati; Bacteroidota; Sphingobacteriia; Sphingobacteriales.